UUCCCUUCCAGCUGACUCAAAGCUUCGGUGCCCGGUGGCCGAAGGGGAAAGUAUUGGGGGUACAGAUCGGGCCCGUGGGAUCAGGCCCCCCCAGAGCACCCCCUCCUGGGGUCCAUGGCCCUCCCUGGUCUUGCCUCCUGGGUUCAUGGUUCCCUCCAUCCUCUCUGGGUCCAGGGGCCCCUUCUAUCUUCUCUAGGUCCUGCCCCCCCCUUAUCCAGGGGUCCCCAUGAUCCCCAGCCUCCGAUCUGGGCUCAUCCCCCUGACAUGGGGCUUUGCCCCUGCAGCGUCUUCCCUCCCUGGGUGUGGAGGCCCUGUGUGCUGGGGCAGGUUGGGGGUGGGGGUUGGAGGGAGGUAACCCCUAAACCUUCCUGGUUCCAACCCACCCUCCCACCUUUCUGUUCCUUUUUGUACUUCUCCCUGCAUGGAUCUCCCGGCGCCCAUCCCAGUGGCACCUGGCUGGGUCUGUCCUGCUCCCCAUGACUCCUGGGGGCUGUUGAGGGGCUGUUCCCCAUUCAGACGUCACCCCCCGGCCAGUGACUCAGCCUCGGGCACUCUGCCAGAAGCAGCUGCCGCAGCCGGUGACUUGCUGUAGCUUUCAUACCGACUCCCUUUCUCCGAUCUGGGAACUGGGCGUCAGAGUUAAAUCCCAGCGACAAACAACCAGCCCCGCUUCCCCGGCAGCGCCUUUCCCAGGGCUCCGCCGUUUCCCGGUCUGUGGUGCUUACCCCAGAGCAGGCGACGAGGCACCUGGCUCCCGGCUGUGAAUACCUGCCUCAGGGGGGAGCAGCAGCAUUGCAGGCCCUGCUGUGGCACCGGUCCGGGGCUAGCGGUGGCAGGCAGAUGAGGUCGCCUUGGAGGGAAGGCACUCAUUUCUGGGUAUCCCCCGACCCCAGAGCCAAGAUGACUCAGUGCGGCCUCCUGACCGGCUCCAACAAGCUGGUGCCCCUGCGCAGUGGCUCGGUGACGGGCUGAUCCGAGGCUUCGUGGCUGACGUGGGCUGUGAGCUGCUCUACAGGAAUGAGGAGCCAGGGCCUGUGGAGGCCGUGUUCGUGUUCCCCAUGUACACUGAGGUGGCUGUCUACGCCUUCCAGGUCCGCCUGGCAGGAGCCUGUAUCCAGGCCCAGCUCCAUGAGAAAAAACAGGCUCCCUGAUGGGCGACCCGGCCUUGAUGGUGACCCUGCUGCCCAGCCUGCCCGAGGCGGUGCCAGGCCAGAGCCCGGCCGGGGAGUUCAUCUUUUUGCUGGACCGCUCCGGCAGCAUGGAGUGCCCCCUGGACGGCCGAGACCACUCCCCACAGCGCAUCGACAGCGCCAAGGGAAUUAAAGAGCUGAGGUCUUCCAGCGUUUGCUUGAACCCCAGGAUGUCCUGAGAAGGGCCCGAUGCUGCCCAAGGUGGACCGUCAAGAUGGAUGGCCAGGUUUUAAGCAUUUCUUCCUUUGGUAGAGAAUUCAGCAGCUGGUGAAUGGGGACGGAUUCACAACACACAGCACGUGGCAAGCAUCCUCGAUCUGAUGCCCACUUCCACCUGUCAGCCUUCCCCACUGAAUUACAUCUGCCGCCGAACACUGUUCAGCUGGAAAAUGUCUGACCAGCUCUAAUUUGGACAUAGAGCAAUUCAAUAAUGCGUGCAAAUCCCUGGGCUACGGUUCACAUUCCCGACUGUCUAUCGAAGAGAAAUCUGCCAUCAUGACCAAAGCAAGUUGUGUUUGGACAUGCAAAGAUCCUGUCAGUCUAUCUGUCAAAUAGCUGAACUCUGUGUAGAUGGGACUAGGUUUACACUCAAUGGCUUGUGCAGGGCGAUGUCAGUGCAGCCACCUAUGGGGUGGGGCGCAGGGGCUGUUAAUAGAGGGACCCCAAAGUCAUUUGGAAAAAGUGAAGAAAUUUGUGACAUUGACCCUGGCGAUCCAGAGGACUCCCCCCACAAUGCUGAGAGGAGGUGCCAGCUGUGAGCAGCAUGGGGGUUACUGAACACUGGGGUCAGCGUGUGGUGGAGCCGGGGGGCAGCCAUGGCUCCUCUUCAGCCAGCAGGAGCCGGAUGCAUCCGAAUUGGUGGCAGAGUGGGAUCCCAGCUGGGGGUUAGGUCCGGGUUGGGCACAGGCCGGCCUGGUGGGUCUGCACCCAGUGCUCCCUGCUGGCCCCUGGGGCUUCCCAGUUUGCGGCCCAGGGUAGCUUGGGGGGUGGGAACAGGGAUCCCAUUUUGGGGGGGCUCAAAGCCCGAAGACGGCAGGACCAAUGCUGCACCCUAGCAGGGCAUUGGUGGCUUCCAGGCACUAGC
Molecule: RNA transcript, 2274 nt
Organism: Dermochelys coriacea (leatherback sea turtle)
Lineage: Eukaryota; Metazoa; Chordata; Testudines; Dermochelyidae
Gene name: von Willebrand factor A domain-containing protein 5A-like
Exons: 5
Source: RefSeq, a predicted model, not a curated record